GCACAAACAAAAAGUGUUGAUGAACUAUACUUCUGUGGCAACAAAUACUGGAUACCUUUUUUAUAUUUCAGUAGCACAAAGAGGCAACAAACACUUCCCUUAAAAAAGAAUAUCAAAACAGUAGAUGAACUAGUGAACAAUCUCUACCAGCGAUUAUUAUUCUUUCCUUCUAAAUUCUAGGGACAGGUCAAAACACUGGUACAGUUAACACAUAUAGACACUUAGAGCGUGAGAGAGAGAACUGAAGAGCCAGAGGUGCCCCCCCCCCACUUUUUUUGCAAUGCCGCAUGUACGACCAACUAUGUCAGCGACAGAAAACGCUUGUUUUUUACGUGUGUAUAUCACAGGCGGUUUUACCUUAUUCUGCAGCAGUCUGUAACGCAAGCGUCUCCCUCACAUAAAAAAGCUUGUCUUGUCUUCUUCUUAACAGAACUCAAAUCUCACAUUCAAGUAGUUGUUCAUAUUAGUGUGACAAAACCGAGGAGGCUGCAGUUGAGAAAGCAGAUGUUGUGUUGUCUAGCCUGUGCCACUGGUACUGCUGCAGAGUCAAAUUGAAUCCUGUGACUAACGUUUCGGAGAAAGUGAACACAAUCUUUUAAAAACAGAAAGAAUAAAGACCAGUGGCGGGAGGAGAGAGCAGGAGGUUCUAGAGAACGGUUCAGAACGUAGCCAUGGUUGUUCAGGUCAAGCAGACAGGCUGAAAACCAUAAAGAAACAAAUGGGAGGGCGAUUGGGAGGGAAACGUACACCCUCAUUCAUUUUCUCUGCCUGUUGCUUCUUUAACGUGGGGGCGUGCAGUUGUUUUAAUUUUUCAUAUUUUAUGGACCGUUCUACCUAAACUCUCAUUGCCAUGUCAGGGUGUGACACAAGUAUGUUAAGAAGACACUAAAGGCUUAAGUCCAAAGAAAAGAAUUGUACAUUGAUUGGUCAAAGGCAAAGUCCAUCCCAAUUUGCAGCAUGUGCAGGCUACUUACAAAUACAAACAUGCCGUGUCUUAUCGGUCCUUUCUAGGAUAGUGGCUCGCUCCGCUCAGACAUCUGUCUGGGUGACUCCGGAGAAGAGGUCCAAACCACCAGGGUGUUUCUGCAUAGUCGGGUUGCAUUCUGUUCACAAAGGUAUGCCUUCUUUUUGAAUCUCAAAAAAACGUGCUUCCUCUAAGAAAACACUUUGAAGAAGAAGAAAAAAAAUGAAACAAAGCGUACAAAUAAAAAAAAAAACAAUCAAACGAAAAACUCAGAGAAAUGUACACAGGAGCACCUGAGAAAUGUAUUGAAGUCUUUUCCUCUUAACUGUCAUCACA
This is a long non-coding RNA of Esox lucius (northern pike), 1300 nucleotides long. The record is from Ensembl. NCBI's taxonomy places the organism in Eukaryota, Metazoa, Chordata, Actinopteri, Esociformes, Esocidae.